RNAcentral lists this ribosomal RNA (1372 nucleotides) under uncultured bacterium. RNAcentral's name for it is "bacterial SSU rRNA". It matches the Rfam family "Bacterial small subunit ribosomal RNA", at positions 28 to 1381 of the family's 1533-position model. The record is from RNAcentral.
GAUGAACGCUGGCGGCGUGCCUAAUACAUGCAAGUCGAGCGAACGGACGAGAAGCUUGCUUCUCUGAUGUUAGCGGCGGACGGGUGAGUAACACGUGGAUAACCUACCUAUAAGACUGGGAUAACUUCGGGAAACCGGAGCUAAUACCGGAUAAUAUUUUGAACCGCAUGGUUCAAAAGUGAAAGACGGUCUUGCUGUCACUUAUAGAUGGAUCCGCGCUGCAUUAGCUAGUUGGUAAGGUAACGGCUUACCAAGGCAACGAUGCAUAGCCGACCUGAGAGGGUGAUCGGCCACACUGGAACUGAGACACGGUCCAGACUCCUACGGGAGGCAGCAGUAGGGAAUCUUCCGCAAUGGGCGAAAGCCUGACGGAGCAACGCCGCGUGAGUGAUGAAGGUCUUCGGAUCGUAAAACUCUGUUAUUAGGGAAGAACAUAUGUGUAAGUAACUGUGCACAUCUUGACGGUACCUAAUCAGAAAGCCACGGCUAACUACGUGCCAGCAGCCGCGGUAAUACGUAGGUGGCAAGCGUUAUCCGGAAUUAUUGGGCGUAAAGCGCGCGUAGGCGGUUUUUUAAGUCUGAUGUGAAAGCCCACGGCUCAACCGUGGAGGGUCAUUGGAAACUGGGAAACUUGAGUGCAGAAGAGGAAAGUGAAAUUCCAUGUGUAGCGGUGAAAUGCGCAGAGAUAUGGAGGAACACCAGUGGCGAAGGCGACUUUCUGGUCUGUAACUGACGCUGAUGUGCGAAAGCGUGGGGAUCAAACAGGAUUAGAUACCCUGGUAGUCCACGCCGUAAACGAUGAGUGCUAAGUGUUAGGGGGUUUCCGCCCCUUAGUGCUGCAGCUAACGCAUUAAGCACUCCGCCUGGGGAGUACGACCGCAAGGUUGAAACUCAAAGGAAUUGACGGGGACCCGCACAAGCGGUGGAGCAUGUGGUUUAAUUCGAAGCAACGCGAAGAACCUUACCAAAUCUUGACAUCCUUUGACAACUCUAGAGAUAGAGCCUUCCCCUUCGGGGGACAAAGUGACAGGUGGUGCAUGGUUGUCGUCAGCUCGUGUCGUGAGAUGUUGGGUUAAGUCCCGCAACGAGCGCAACCCUUAAGCUUAGUUGCCAUCAUUAAGUUGGGCACUCUAAGUUGACUGCCGGUGACAAACCGGAGGAAGGUGGGGAUGACGUCAAAUCAUCAUGCCCCUUAUGAUUUGGGCUACACACGUGCUACAAUGGACAAUACAAAGGGCAGCGAAACCGCGAGGUCAAGCAAAUCCCAUAAAGUUGUUCUCAGUUCGGAUUGUAGUCUGCAACUCGACUACAUGAAGCUGGAAUCGCUAGUAAUCGUAGAUCAGCAUGCUACGGUGAAUACGUUCCCGGGUCU